This 496-nucleotide ribosomal RNA is filed under the name uncultured bacterium. RNAcentral's name for it is "partial 16S ribosomal RNA". It matches the Rfam family "Bacterial small subunit ribosomal RNA", at positions 28 to 507 of the family's 1533-position model. The record is from RNAcentral.
GACGAACGCUGGCGGCGUGCCUAAUACAUGCAAGUUGAGCGCUGAAGGUUGGUACUUGUACCAACUGGAUGAGCAGCAAACGGGUGAGUAACGCGUGGGGAAUCUGCCUUUGAGCGGGGGACAACAUUUGGAAACGAAUGCUAAUACCGCAUAAAAACUUUAAACACAAGUUUUAAGUUUGAAAGAUGCAAUUGCAUCACUCAAAGAUGAUCCCGCGUUGUAUUAGCUAGUUGGUGAGGUAAAGGCUCACCAAGGCGAUGAUACAUAGCCGACCUGAGAGGGUGAUCGGCCACAUUGGGACUGAGACACGGCCCAAACUCCUACGGGAGGCAGCAGUAGGGAAUCUUCGGAAUGGACGAAAGUCUGACCGAGCAACGCCGCGUGAGUGAAGAAGGUUUUCGGAUCGUAAAACUCUGUUGGUAGAGAAGAACGUUGGUGAGAGUGGAAAGCUCAUCAAGUGACGGUAACUACCCAGAAAGGGACGGCUAACUACGUG